AGCACGGGUUGUUUUAAAAUAUAUUGUCUAACCUCGUUUUAUGAAAAAAAAAACCAACAUACAUUUGAUUCAGAUUUUUUAAUUCUAAUAUUCUAAAGGAACUUGGGUUUAGGGGGGGGGGGGCAAAAAUGAUUCUCUCUUUUGUUGUUCUGCCUAUGAAUUUCCUGUAAGGGAAAUAGUCGGGCCAAUCAUUAUUGGCUUCAUCUAUGAUUUCAAAAGAUCCUGAAUUUAUAGUUUCUGUGAAGUUUGGUUAAAGUAAGGUCCUCAUAUGAUUAUGCACCAUUCUUCAUUUAAAUUGUUCGGCAAUUUUUAAUUCAUAUGAAAUAUGAGAAGGGCACGCACGUGUUACCUGUACCCAAAAGGAGGAUUGUGUUUUCGAUAAAAAAAAAUUUAGAAAAAAAAUGUAUAUUAGAUACAACAAAAAAAGGGGGGAUACCCAAACCCUGGUGUCUUAUUCCCAGUCCAGGCAUAUCAGUAUGUUCAUAGAUCUGCGUUGUAGUAUAACUAAAAAAUAAUGCAUUCAAGCAAGUUUGAUAUAGUAUUUUUUCCGAAUGCGUUUUACCUCCAUAAGGUAAAUGGGGGUAAAUCAUCAAUUUC
Molecule: long non-coding RNA, 597 nt
Filed under: Mytilus galloprovincialis (Mediterranean mussel)
Lineage: Eukaryota; Metazoa; Mollusca; Bivalvia; Mytilida; Mytilidae
Source: RNAcentral